CAGGUGGCAGGCUGUGUAUUCAAAUUGGAAUCCUAUGACAGCAGCAGGAGCCCAAUUUGUCAAACUGGACAGAAACUUGGAGGAUGAGCAUACCAGGAGUAGUUCCAUCAAGAUUCUUUUGGCAGAACCAGUAAAUGUAACAGCCAGUAGAGCUGGGCAAAGUUUCCUGGAAUUGGCUGGGAGGCUGAGAAGCAAAUAGAAGAUCCAAGCUGCUUCCCAAAAAUAGGAGGUGAUCAAGAGACAGUGUUCGAAAAUCUGGAGGAGAAAGGAUGAGGCUUCAGACCAUUACAAAGAAUAUUGAGGUGUUGUAGAACAACA
Non-coding RNA from Chiloscyllium plagiosum (whitespotted bambooshark), 318 nucleotides. Lineage: Eukaryota; Metazoa; Chordata; Chondrichthyes; Orectolobiformes; Hemiscylliidae. The record is from RefSeq and is a predicted model, not a curated record.